Molecule: ribosomal RNA, 242 nt
Filed under: uncultured bacterium
Lineage: Bacteria
Description: partial 16S ribosomal RNA
Rfam family: Bacterial small subunit ribosomal RNA
Source: RNAcentral
UGGGUAACCUGCCUCAAAGAGGGGAAUAGCCUCCCGAAAGGGAGAUUAAUACCGCAUAAUAUGUUUAAGUCGCAUGACUUUAACAUCAAAGGAUUUUCUUUUAGAAAUUCCACUUUGAGAUGGACCCGCGGCGCAUUAGCUAGUUGGUGAGGUAACGGCUCACCAAGGCAACGAUGCGUAGCCAACCUGAGAGGGUGAUCGGCCACAUUGGAACUGAGACACGGCCCAGCUCCGUAGGGAGG